UAAUAAGUGUUUUAUGGCACUUUUUAAAUCCAUAUCCACCUUGUGUGCAAUGUCAGUCGGUUUUCUUUUUCGUCAAGAAAAAGAGGAUCGACCAAACAUCAACUUAUUCUAAUUGACUUUUGUCUGAAAACUAUUAUGAAUAAACUAAUUCAAAAUA
Molecule: unclassified non-coding RNA, 157 nt
Filed under: soil metagenome
Description: partial internal transcribed spacer 1
Source: RNAcentral